CGUGUAGGCGGUUCGGUAAGUGAGAUGUGAAAGCCCCGGCUCACCCGGGGAUGUGCAUUUCAUACUGCCGGACUUGAGUGCGGAAGAGGAUGGGGGAAUUCCUGGUGUAGCGGUGAAAUGCGUAGAUAUCAGGAGGAACACCGGUGGCGAAGGCGCCCAUCUGGUCCGUUACUGACGCUGAUGCGCGAAAGCUAGGGGAGCGAACG
Molecule: ribosomal RNA, 206 nt
Filed under: uncultured bacterium
Lineage: Bacteria
Description: partial 16S ribosomal RNA
Rfam family: Bacterial small subunit ribosomal RNA
Source: RNAcentral